AUUGAACGCUGGCGGCAGGCCUAACACAUGCAAGUCGAACGAGUGGCGGACGGGUGAGUAAUGUCUGGGAAACUGCCAGAUGGAGGGGGAUAACUACUGGAAACGGUAGCUAAUACCGCAUACCAUCAGAUGUGCCCAGAGGGGAUUAGCUUGUUGGUGGGGUAACGGCUCACCAGGGAGACGAGCCCUAGCUGGUCUGAGAGGAUGACCAGCAACACUGGAACUGAGACACGGUCCAGACUCCUACGGGAGGCAGCAGUGGGGAAUAUUGCACAAUGGGCGCAAGCCUGAUGCAGCCAGGACGCGUGUAUGAAGAAGGCCUUCGGUUUGUAAAGUACGAUCAGCGGGGAGGCGUUACCCGCAGAAGAAGCACAGGCUAACUCCGUGGCAGCAGCCGCGGUAAUUC
RNAcentral lists this ribosomal RNA (406 nucleotides) under uncultured bacterium. RNAcentral's name for it is "partial 16S ribosomal RNA". It matches the Rfam family "Bacterial small subunit ribosomal RNA", at positions 29 to 526 of the family's 1533-position model. The record is from RNAcentral.